This 1306-nucleotide ribosomal RNA is filed under the name uncultured bacterium. RNAcentral's name for it is "bacterial SSU rRNA". It matches the Rfam family "Bacterial small subunit ribosomal RNA", at positions 28 to 1381 of the family's 1533-position model. The record is from RNAcentral.
AACGUACGCUGGCGGCACGCCUAACACAUGCAAGUCGAACGAAGUAGCAAUACUUAGUGGCAGACGGGUGAGUAACAUGUAGGUAUCUGCCCUUUGGCCUGGAAUAACACGAGGAAACUUGUGCUAAUACCGGAUAAGUCUUUACGGAGAAAGCUUUAUGCACCAUUGGAUGAGCCUGCACUUGAUUAGUUUGUUGGUGGGGUAAUGGCCUACCAAGACUGUGAUCAAUAGCUGAUUUGAGAGGAUGAUCAGCCACAUUGGGACUAAGACACGGCCCAAACUCCUACGGGAGGCAGCAGUGGGGAAUCUUGCACAAUGGAGGAAACUCUGAUGCAGCGAUGCCGCGUGAGUGAAGAAGGCCUUUGGGUUGUAAAGCUCUUUCGUCGGGGAAGAAAAUGACUGUACCCGAAUAAGAAGGUCCGGCUAACUUCGUGCCAGCAGCCGCGGUAAUACGAAGGGACCUAGCGUAGUUCGGAAUUACUGGGCUUAAAGAGUUCGUAGGUGGUUGAAAAAGUUGGUGGUGAAAUCCCAGAGCUUAACUCUGGAACUGCCAUCAAAACUUUUCAGCUAGAGUAUGAUAGAGGAAAGCAGAAUUUCUAGUGUAGAGGUGAAAUUCGUAGAUAUUAGAAAGAAUACCAAUUGCGAAGGCAGCUUUCUGGAUCAUUACUGACACUGAGGAACGAAAGCAUGGGUAGCGAAGAGGAUUAGAUACCCUCGUAGUCCAUGCCGUAAACGAUGUGUGUUAGACGUUGGAAAUUUAUUUUCAGUGUCGCAGCGAAAGCGAUAAACACACCGCCUGGGGAGUACGACCGCAAGGUUAAAACUCAAAUGAAUUGACGGGGACCCGCACAAGUAGUGGAGCAUGUGGUUUAAUUCGAAGAUACGCGCAGAACCUUACCAACACUUGACAUGUUCGUCGCGACUCUAAGAGAUUAGAGUUUUCGGUUCGGCCGGACGAAACACAGGUGCUGCAUGGCUGUCGUCAGCUCGUGUCGUGAGAUGUUGGGUUAAGUCCCGCAACGAGCGCAACCCUCACUUUUAGUUGCCAUCAUUAAGUUGGGCACUCUGAAAGAACUGCCAGUGAUAAGCUGGAGGAAGGUGGGGAUGACGUCAAGUCCUCAUGGCCCUUACGUGUUGGGCUACACACGUGCUACAAUGGUAUCUACAACAGGAAGCAAGACUGCGAAGUUAAGCAAAUCCCUAAAAGAUACCUCAGUUCGGAUUGCACUCUGCAACUCGAGUGCAUGAAGCUGGAAUUACUAGUAAUCGUGGAUCAGCGUGCCACGGUGAAUGCGUUCCCGGGUCU